RNAcentral lists this long non-coding RNA (1079 nucleotides) under Zonotrichia albicollis (white-throated sparrow). Its description in RNAcentral is "lncRNA (ENSZALG00000001033.1)". The record is from RNAcentral. Lineage: Eukaryota; Metazoa; Chordata; Aves; Passeriformes; Passerellidae.
AUGGACUGGGAUGGACUGGGAGGGGAUUGGGAUGAAUUGGGAUGGACUGGGAGUUACUGGGAGGAUGUCGCAGUUCCCAAAACGGCCACGAGGGGGAGCUGGGAGUUCAUUGAGAAAGACUGGGAGGGAACUGGGAUGAACUGGGAGGGACUGGAAAAGCCACUUAAGAGCACUGGGCUCAACUGGGAGGGACUGGGAUGGACUGGAAGGGGAUUGGGACAAACUGGGAGUUACUGGGAGGACGUUGCAGUUCUCAAAACGGCCACCAGGGGGAGCUGGGAGUUCAUUGAGAAGGACUGGGAGGGAACUGGGAUGAACUGGGAAAGAGUUGGGAUGGACUGGGAGCAACUGGGAAUGGGUUGGGAUAAACUGGGAGGGACUGGGAUGGACUGGGAGUUACUGGGAGGACGUUGCAGUUCCCAAAGCAGCCACCAGGGGGAGCUGUGGAGAUGCUGGGAGUUCAUUGACAGGGACUGGGAUGGACUGGGAGGGACUGGGAGGGACUGGGAGGUGAUUGGGACAAACUGGGAUGGACUGGGAGUUACUGGGAGGACGUUGCAGUUCUCAAAACGGCCACCAGGGGGAGUUGGGAGUUCAUUGAGAAAGACUGGGAGGGAACUGGGAUGAACUGGGAGGGACUGGAAAAGCCACUUAAGGGCACUGGGAGGCACUGGGCUCAACUGGGAGGCACUGGGAGGGGAUUGGGACAAACUGGGAUGAACUGGGAGUUACUGGGAGGAUGCUGCAGUUCUCAAAACGGCCACCAGGGGGAGUUGGGAGUUCAUUGGGAGGGACUGGGAGGGGAUUGGGACAAACUGGGAGCUACUGGGAGGACCCUGGAGAGCCCCUGGGCCAUACUGGGAAUCAUGGGGCUGAACUGGGUUGAACUGGGAAUGACCUGCACCACAAUUGGACACAACUGCAAUACCAAACUCAGCCACCAGAGGGCGCCACUGAGUUAACUCAAUUUCCAAUCCCGUCCCACCAACCUGUACUGGUUCUUACUGGUUUUUACUGGUUUUUACUGGUUUAGAUCCUGCACUACAGCCCCGGGGCCGUUUUUUGGGGUGAUCUCGUGG